RNAcentral lists this ribosomal RNA (275 nucleotides) under uncultured prokaryote. RNAcentral's name for it is "partial 16S ribosomal RNA". It matches the Rfam family "Bacterial small subunit ribosomal RNA", at positions 524 to 798 of the family's 1533-position model. The record is from RNAcentral.
UACGGAGGAUCCGAGCGUUAUCCGGAUUUAUUGGGUUUAAAGGGUGCGCAGGCGGGGGAUUAAGUCGGCGGUGAAAUUUUGCAGCUCAACUGUAAAAGUGCCUUCGAAACUGGUUUCCUUGAGUGUAGAUGAAGUAGGCGGAAUUUGUGGUGUAGCGGUGAAAUGCUUAGAUAUCACGAGGAACUCCGAUUGCGCAGGCAGCUUACUAAACUACUACUGACGCUCAGGCACGAAGGCGUGGGGAUCAAACAGGAUUAGAUACCCGCGUAGUCCCU